This 570-nucleotide long non-coding RNA is filed under the name Vulpes vulpes (red fox). RNAcentral's name for it is "lncRNA (ENSVVUG00000026643.1)". Lineage: Eukaryota; Metazoa; Chordata; Mammalia; Carnivora; Canidae. The record is from RNAcentral.
UUUGUCGUACAAUUUAACAAAAAAUAUCCACCAUGAUUGCAAGAAGGAAACUCUCUGUUUGGGCAUCAAAUCAAUUGCAACUGGACUUGUGAUUGUCCUAAUGAUCCUAACUUGUCUGCAAAUUUUAAUUUCACUUCCUCUCUCCAUGCUCAGUUAUAAUGUGGAUGACGAGAAUAUUCACUGGAUUUAUGUAUUGCUUUGCUGGAAAUCACCUUCUGAAGGUCUUUAUCAAGACUUGUUGCCUCAAACUAUAAUCUAUCGAGAACUUGAACGCAAAGAAGAUACACCUUCACAUUAUCCCACAGAUACUAACAAACAAAUAUGAGGCUGCACCUCUGUAUUUUGGAUCCACAGUGAUAGCAAGAAGCUCAUACUGUGGCCACUGAGGCAUGAAUACACACCUGUGAAGAUACAUAAGCAUAGAGUUCAGGGUCACAAAGAGAGCAACUAGCAUUUAUAACAUUGAGAUUUUGGUUGUUGCCCCUUUUUUUGUUAUGGUUGGUUGUCAUCACAGACUAGGUUUAUGCUCUGUUACAAAACUUAACCUUGAAAUAUCGGUGGCUUAACACA